Molecule: unclassified non-coding RNA, 81 nt
Filed under: Rhodotorula toruloides
Lineage: Eukaryota; Fungi; Basidiomycota; Microbotryomycetes; Sporidiobolales; Sporidiobolaceae
Source: RNAcentral
UCCCAGUCGCCGCAGCUACACCCCUCCCAAUGCUUGUAUGACUGCGAGGCAACGAAGUGCUGUCUUCCUCCACCUGCUGCG